GAAAAAGGAAGAUAUUCCCAGAUAAACAAAAGCUGAAGAAGUUGUCACGACCAGACCUGCCCCACAAGAAAUGUUAGAGAGUCAUGCAGGCUGGUAAAGAAAGGACAACAGAUGACAGGAAUUCAGAGCCACAUGGUAAAAUAAAAGCCACAGGGAAACCAGCUGCCAUGUUGUGAAUUGCGCUAUGGAAAGACCCAUGUGGCACAGAACCGAGGUCUCUGGCCAGCAGCCCUCAAGGAAUCCUGCCAACAGCCAUGAGAGUAAGCUUGGAAGAGGAUCUUCCCUCAGUAGACCCUUGAGAAAAGGCCACAGACCUGGCUAACUCCUAGAUAGCAGCCUGUAAGAGAACCUGAGCUAGAAGCACUCAGCUAAGCCAUGUCUGGAUUCUUGACCUGCAGAAACUGUGAGAUAAUAAAUGUUCCUUAUUUUAAGCCACUAAGUUUUGAAGUAAUUUGUAAUACAGCAAUGGAAAACUCAUACAGUAACCAAUCAAAAAUGCCUUUCAGAAUCCUACAUUUUUUUGAAAAAUCUUUUCCUUCUUGCCCUAUAUAUGUCCUUCACGCUACAAGUCACUUUUUGGCCUUUAUUGUUCUUUAAAAGUCUACUAUUUUUCAGGCAAUAUGCUGGUCUAGAGAAUCAUUAUCACGAUUCCCA
This 654-nucleotide long non-coding RNA is filed under the name Equus caballus (horse). Its description in RNAcentral is "lncRNA (ENSECAG00000043061.2)". The record is from RNAcentral. Lineage: Eukaryota; Metazoa; Chordata; Mammalia; Perissodactyla; Equidae.